Molecule: ribosomal RNA, 750 nt
Filed under: uncultured Ideonella sp.
Lineage: Bacteria; Pseudomonadati; Pseudomonadota; Betaproteobacteria; Burkholderiales; Sphaerotilaceae
Description: bacterial SSU rRNA
Rfam family: Bacterial small subunit ribosomal RNA
Source: RNAcentral
AUUGAACGCUGGCGGCAUGCCUUACACAUGCAAGUCGAACGGUAACGCGGGGCAACCUGGCGACGAGUGGCGAACGGGUGAGUAAUGCAUCGGAACGUGCCCAGUAGUGGGGGAUAGCCCGGCGAAAGCCGGAUUAAUACCGCAUACGACCUACGGGUGAAAGCGGGGGAUCGCAAGACCUCGCGCUAUUGGAGCGGCCGAUGUCAGAUUAGGUAGUUGGUGGGGUAAAAGCCUACCAAGCCUACGAUCUGUAGCUGGUCUGAGAGGACGACCAGCCACACUGGGACUGAGACACGGCCCAGACUCCUACGGGAGGCAGCAGUGGGGAAUUUUGGACAAUGGGGGCAACCCUGAUCCAGCCAUGCCGCGUGCGGGAAGAAGGCCUUCGGGUUGUAAACCGCUUUUGUCAGGGAAGAAAUCCUCUGGGCUAAUACCUCGGGGGGAUGACGGUACCUGGAGAAUAAGCACCGGCUAACUACGUGCCAGCAGCCGCGGUAAUACGUAGGGUGCAAGCGUUAAUCGGAAUUACUGGGCGUAAAGCGUGCGCAGGCGGUUGUGCAAGACAGAUGUGAAAUCCCCGGGCUUAACCUGGGAACUGCACUUGUGACUGCACGGCUGGAGUGCGGCAGAGGGGGAUGGAAUUCCGCGUGUAGCAGUGAAAUGCGUAGAUAUGCGGAGGAACACCGAUGGCGAAGGCAAUCCCCUGGGCCUGCACUGACGCUCAUGCACGAAAGCGUGGGGAGCAAACAG